RNAcentral lists this ribosomal RNA (253 nucleotides) under uncultured bacterium. RNAcentral's name for it is "partial 16S ribosomal RNA". It matches the Rfam family "Bacterial small subunit ribosomal RNA", at positions 524 to 776 of the family's 1533-position model. The record is from RNAcentral.
UACAGAGGGCUCAAGCGUUGUUCGGAUUCAUUGGGCGUAAAGGGUGCGUAGGUGGCGCCGUAAGUCAGGUGUGAAAUCUCGGAGCUCAACUCCGAAACUGCACUUGAUACUGCGGUGCUCGAGUACUGGAGAGGAGAUUGGAAUUUACGGUGUAGCAGUGAAAUGCGUAGAUAUCGUAAGGAAGACCAGUGGCGAAGGCGAAUCUCUGGACAGUUACUGACACUGAGGCACGAAGGCCAGGGGAGCAAACGGG